This 464-nucleotide ribosomal RNA is filed under the name Vreelandella stevensii. Its description in RNAcentral is "partial 16S ribosomal RNA". It matches the Rfam family "Bacterial small subunit ribosomal RNA", at positions 338 to 795 of the family's 1533-position model. Lineage: Bacteria; Pseudomonadati; Pseudomonadota; Gammaproteobacteria; Oceanospirillales; Halomonadaceae. The record is from RNAcentral.
CCUAGGGAGGCAGCAGUGGGGAAUAUUGGACAAUGGGGGGAACCCUGAUCCAGCCAUGCCGCGUGUGUGAAGAAGGCCCUCGGGUUGUAAAGCACUUUCAGUGAGGAAGAACGCCUGGUGGUUAAUACCCAUCAGGAAAGACAUCACUCACAGAAGAAGCACCGGCUAACUCCGUGCCAGCAGCCGCGGUAAUACGGAGGGUGCGAGCGUUAAUCGGAAUUACUGGGCGUAAAGCGCGCGUAGGUGGCUUGAUAAGCCGGUUGUGAAAGCCCCGGGCUCAACCUGGGAACGGCAUCCGGAACUGUCAAGCUAGAGUGCAGGAGAGGAAGGUAGAAUUCCCGGUGUAGCGGUGAAAUGCGUAGAGAUCGGGAGGAAUACCAGUGGCGAAGGCGGCCUUCUGGACUGACACUGACACUGAGGUGCGAAAGCGUGGGUAGCAAACAGGAUUAGAUACCCUUGUAGUC